RNAcentral lists this ribosomal RNA (1556 nucleotides) under Citrobacter freundii complex sp. CFNIH2. RNAcentral describes it as "bacterial SSU rRNA". It matches the Rfam family "Bacterial small subunit ribosomal RNA". The record is from RNAcentral. Lineage: Bacteria; Pseudomonadati; Pseudomonadota; Gammaproteobacteria; Enterobacterales; Enterobacteriaceae.
ACUUAAAUUGAAGAGUUUGAUCAUGGCUCAGAUUGAACGCUGGCGGCAGGCCUAACACAUGCAAGUCGAACGGUAACAGGAAGCAGCUUGCUGCUUUGCUGACGAGUGGCGGACGGGUGAGUAAUGUCUGGGAAACUGCCCGAUGGAGGGGGAUAACUACUGGAAACGGUAGCUAAUACCGCAUAAUGUCGCAAGACCAAAGAGGGGGACCUUCGGGCCUCUUGCCAUCGGAUGUGCCCAGAUGGGAUUAGCUUGUUGGUGAGGUAACGGCUCACCAAGGCGACGAUCCCUAGCUGGUCUGAGAGGAUGACCAGCCACACUGGAACUGAGACACGGUCCAGACUCCUACGGGAGGCAGCAGUGGGGAAUAUUGCACAAUGGGCGCAAGCCUGAUGCAGCCAUGCCGCGUGUAUGAAGAAGGCCUUCGGGUUGUAAAGUACUUUCAGCGGGGAGGAAGGGGUUAAGGUUAAUAACCUUAGCCAUUGACGUUACCCGCAGAAGAAGCACCGGCUAACUCCGUGCCAGCAGCCGCGGUAAUACGGAGGGUGCAAGCGUUAAUCGGAAUUACUGGGCGUAAAGCGCACGCAGGCGGUCUGUCAAGUCGGAUGUGAAAUCCCCGGGCUCAACCUGGGAACUGCAUUCGAAACUGGCAGGCUUGAGUCUCGUAGAGGGGGGUAGAAUUCCAGGUGUAGCGGUGAAAUGCGUAGAGAUCUGGAGGAAUACCGGUGGCGAAGGCGGCCCCCUGGACGAAGACUGACGCUCAGGUGCGAAAGCGUGGGGAGCAAACAGGAUUAGAUACCCUGGUAGUCCACGCCGUAAACGAUGUCUAUUUGGAGGUUGUUCCCUUGAGGAGUGGCUUCCGGAGCUAACGCGUUAAAUAGACCGCCUGGGGAGUACGGCCGCAAGGUUAAAACUCAAAUGAAUUGACGGGGGCCCGCACAAGCGGUGGAGCAUGUGGUUUAAUUCGAUGCAACGCGAAGAACCUUACCUGGUCUUGACAUCCACAGAACUUUCCAGAGAUGGAUUGGUGCCUUCGGGAACUGUGAGACAGGUGCUGCAUGGCUGUCGUCAGCUCGUGUUGUGAAAUGUUGGGUUAAGUCCCGCAACGAGCGCAACCCUUAUCCUUUGUUGCCAGCGGUCCGGCCGGGAACUCAAAGGAGACUGCCAGUGAUAAACUGGAGGAAGGUGGGGAUGACGUCAAGUCAUCAUGGCCCUUACGACCAGGGCUACACACGUGCUACAAUGGCAUAUACAAAGAGAAGCGACCUCGCGAGAGUAAGCGGACCUCAUAAAGUAUGUCGUAGUCCGGAUUGGAGUCUGCAACUCGACUCCAUGAAGUCGGAAUCGCUAGUAAUCGUGGAUCAGAAUGCCACGGUGAAUACGUUCCCGGGCCUUGUACACACCGCCCGUCACACCAUGGGAGUGGGUUGCAAAAGAAGUAGGUAGCUUAACCUUCGGGAGGGCGCUUACCACUUUGUGAUUCAUGACUGGGGUGAAGUCGUAACAAGGUAACCGUAGGGGAACCUGCGGUUGGAUCACCUCCUUACCUUAAAGAA